UACGUAGGCAGCAAGCGUUGUUCGGAGUUACUGGGCGUAAAGGGUGUGUAGGCGGUUGUUUAAGUUUGGUGUGAAAUCUCCCGGCUCAACUGGGAGGGUGCGCCGAAUACUGAAUGACUAGAGUGCGGGAGAGGUGAGUGGAAUUCCUGGUGUAGCGGUGAAAUGCGUAGAUAUCGUAAGGAAGACCAGUGGCGAAGGCGGGUCUCUGGACAGUUCCUGACGCUGAGGCACGAAGGCCAGGGGAGCAAACGGG
RNAcentral lists this ribosomal RNA (253 nucleotides) under uncultured prokaryote. RNAcentral's name for it is "partial 16S ribosomal RNA". It matches the Rfam family "Bacterial small subunit ribosomal RNA", at positions 524 to 776 of the family's 1533-position model. The record is from RNAcentral.